AUAAGACUCUCGGCAACGGAUGUCUAGGCCCUCGCAAUGAUGAAGAUCGUAGCAAAAUGCGAUACUUGGUGUG
Molecule: ribosomal RNA, 73 nt
Filed under: Aponogeton tenuispicatus
Lineage: Eukaryota; Viridiplantae; Streptophyta; Magnoliopsida; Alismatales; Aponogetonaceae
Description: partial 5.8S ribosomal RNA
Rfam family: 5.8S ribosomal RNA
About the family: 5.8S ribosomal RNA (5.8S rRNA) is a component of the large subunit of the eukaryotic ribosome. It is transcribed by RNA polymerase I as part of the 45S precursor that also contains 18S and 28S rRNA.
Source: RNAcentral